UGCUUUUAAUGCAUUCAAUUGACAAUAAGGUUGAAUUGUAAAAGUACUCGUUGUUUAUAUUAAGGAAAGAGCCCACUGAAAACGGCGAUUUGGUCCCUCCAGCUUUGGACACUGACCCAGGCUCGAGACGCACUCCCACAGGCAGGCCAUAUAAUGGAGCGCCAUGUGAACCAGUCCAUAAUUGGCAUCCUGUGCAUCCUUCGGGGCUGUGGCUUGAGCGACAAGCGUAGUGUAUUUGUUGAUAAGCAUUCUUUGGCGCAAUUGCAGCUUUUUGUUUUUACUGUUUAGCAUAACAAUGGCUGUUAAAUUAUUAUGUUUGCCUUUGCUUGGGCUUGGUCUCAUGCUUUACCUCUUCAGAUGCGCGCUGGCAUCUGCGAAUGCCUUGGACCUGGUUUUGGUGGCAAGCAGCUCCUGCGUCAUGCCAAUUAGCUUAUAGACAAACAUAAGCGCACGCGUUCUGUACAGUUCCAACAAUUCCCUGGUCUAUUCAAAUACACGAUUAGCUUUCCUAUAAGCUUGAAGCCGAACGGACCAAACUUUCGCUGACAGCAAGUUCCAUUCAAAAUGGGAAUUCAUUAAAUGUAAUUUGAUGUGGAUUUGAUGAAAUCACUGAAACGCGUGAAUUGCAGCAAACACGGACUGUGCUCUGCACUGCUCAGCAGUCAGUUAGUCAAUCAGUCAGUCAGUCAAUCAGUAAGCCGCGAGGCCAUGCGACUUGUCCUGAACGCCUGCUGGCGUAGCCUUUGACGGAGACAGUGCAACUCCAGCUUGGUCUUGACCAGGGCCUUCUG
RNAcentral lists this small RNA (791 nucleotides) under Drosophila virilis. RNAcentral describes it as "GJ25829". The record is from RNAcentral. Lineage: Eukaryota; Metazoa; Arthropoda; Insecta; Diptera; Drosophilidae.